This is a non-coding RNA of Leptonychotes weddellii (Weddell seal), 2331 nucleotides long. The record is from RefSeq and is a predicted model, not a curated record. Lineage: Eukaryota; Metazoa; Chordata; Mammalia; Carnivora; Phocidae.
GCUCAGCCUGCGACUCCUAGGAGCCUUCGGGGGUGCGGCCCUGGAAGGCCAGGCCCCAAACGUGCGACUGAGGGACCCCGGCUUGCGCUGGCAGAGAUCUGUCAGGCCCGCAGUCGCAGCGACCCGCGAGAGGGACGGAGGAGGGAUGCGCCGCCUCCAGGCCAGCAGUGGAAUCUCACUGGCGCCUACGUAGAACGAAGAACCCCAGUGUCCUUUGCGAGGCGCCUUCCCGGCCCGCAGCCUACAUCUCCCAGGAGCCCCUGCGGCGCGUGGGGCCGUGCGGCGGCGCCUGAGGCCCCCCGCCCCGGUGGUGGCGAUUCUCUGAGGUGUGCGGCUCGUGCCGCCUGGGCGUCUGCGCACGAGAGGCCCAGGUUGUGCCACUGUGUGUGUGUGUGUGUGUGUGUGUGUGUGUGUUGUGGGGCCUGCGUUUGUGAUCCCGUUGUUUUGCGUGUGAGGGGAAACACCGGUUUUGAAUGUGUAUGUGUAGACUCUGCCUGCUUUUGCACCACAGCAGAGUUGAGUGGCUGUGCCACGGAUUUGUGUGGCCACAGAACCUAAACUACCCUCUGAACCUGGAUCCCAGCCUUUGUGAUUGUGGGGAGGGUGUGUGUGUGUGUGUGUGUGUGUGUGUGUAGGGGAUCCCAGAAAGUAAACGUGCGUGUGCACAGAAACUGCCGCUUGUGCCAGUGUGUGCGUGUGUAAGUGUGUGUGUGUGUGAGAGAAACCAGUUUUUAUUCCCGUCGCAGUGUGUAGUGUGUGGGUUUUCUCCCCACCAUCAAACAGUUCUCUGACACCAGCGGGUGUCCUGCCACUCAACCUGACUCUGACGCCCGGGUGCCCUGGGUCAGGAGCCCCGUGCCCAGGACGGCGCCCACCCCGUAUCCGACGCCCGUUCUCAGUCCGCAGGUCGGGGUUUUAGGCUGUGGGAGAAACGUUUUACUUACUGGAUCACCAGCUGUUCUAAACGGACCGCAGGAAUGGCCAGAUGAAGAACGUGGGAAGGGGCUCGCAGCUUCCACCUUCCCAGGACCUCCACGGUGUUCGGCAGCCUGGACGCUCUCUCAGGCUCCUCCUGUUUUGGAUGGAGCUUCAUUAGGGAUUUUUCCUUGGAGCAAGCGGCUUCUUGAACUGGAAGAUUCUUCUGAGUACCUGGUGGUGCUGGAACAAAGGGAAUGGCCAAGAAAACCAAGAAACCUCAAGAUAAACCUGCAAUUUGGCACUUCUUUGGGUGUUCUCCUUAGACCACCUCCCAGGAAACUAUAGAAGAACGUGUUCUGGAGGAUUCAGGAAAGGAAAGAAAGGAUGUCUCUUUCUCUGAUAGAAGAGAGUCCUACAGAGGGAUAUGCCGGCCACAUGUAGCCAUCUGCUUCUUGUCUUUAAUGAGCUGAGAGGACUUCCUGCUCUCAAGCCCACGAGGAGAAGGCCCAUUCAGUCACACAUACCAGCUCUUUGCAGACACUGACUCAUGGAGCCUUUGAGCCAAGGCUCCUGCCUUACUUCUGGAAAGUCCAUUUCAUAACACCCCAUGGAAAAGAAAUUUUCCUCGAUGCCAGUGGAGGUAUCCCUGCUAUGUUUGAAAUUAUGGAGAAAAGCUUCCAGAAGGUUCCUUUCACCUUGUGAAUAUUGGCAGUCUUCAUGCCCGUGCCUCAUCAAAGGCAAGGAUAUUCAUCAACGAGAAUGCCAUCAGUUCAUUUUCUUUGCGGUAAAUCCACCUCACGCUUGCUUCUGUGAGAGUUGAAGACGCCUCGUGCCCAAUUCCAGGAGUGUAAUUCCAUCUGCUCGCCAUGGUGUUUGGUUUAUGGGAGGGGUCGACAAACAGUGGCCCACAGACCAAACUGUAUCUGUCGUCUAUGGCUGCUUUUGCAUGACAAUGACAGAGUCCAAUAAUUGUGAUGGAGGCUGUGUGGCUGGCAAGGCUGAAAAUAUUUACCAUCUAGCCCUUUAUAGUAAAAGUUUGAUGAUCCCUGAUUUGCACAGGUGAGCGAAGUCUAUUUAUAAAUGAAAAGAUUGGAACACCCAGUGCUUUGUUCCUUGGGUCCUUCACAUUUCUCCAUGUUUACAGUGCAUUCCCUGCCCUGAUUUUUACACCACUAAUACAAUACAGCAUUGCAAAAUCCCCUAUCCGCAUGUGUUUCAUACUCUGGAAUACUUCAUCACAAGAUACAUGUGGGAAGAAGGGGUAGAUAUUGUCAGGUCCCCUCACCCCAGUUGCAUCUGGGGUGUUUAUUAAUAAUAACAAUAAUGAGCAUCAACAGUGUCAUGCCUUUUGGAUAAGGAGCACAGAAAAGAAAUGAUAAAAACAAAUGGAAAUGGUUACUUCCAGAGGAUCCU